UACGUAGGGGGCAAGCGUUGUCCGGAUUUAUUGGGCGUAAAGAGCUUGUAGGCGGUUUGUCGCGUCUGCCGUGAAAAUCCGGGGCUCAACCCCGGACUUGCGGUGGGUACGGGCAGACUAGAGUGUGGUAGGGGAGACUGGAAUUCCUGGUGUAGCGGUGAAAUGCGCAGAUAUCAGGAGGAACACCGAUGGCGAAGGCAGGUCUCUGGGCCACUACUGACGCUGAGAAGCGAAAGCGUGGGGAGCGAACAGG
This 253-nucleotide ribosomal RNA is filed under the name uncultured bacterium. RNAcentral describes it as "partial 16S ribosomal RNA". It matches the Rfam family "Bacterial small subunit ribosomal RNA", at positions 524 to 776 of the family's 1533-position model. The record is from RNAcentral.